CUCUCUUUCUCUCAAUAUCAUCCUCUUGCUAGUUGGUGUUUGUAAGCCAUUAGAGGAGUGACAAUUAUGACUCUAAGCUCCAAGAACAAGAAGUUUCAAGCAAGCAACUUAAGGUAUUCUUCUAGAUCUGAUUUCAUAUGAUAUGAUUCAAUUGUUUACACUAGAUCUAGAAUUGUAAGCCUUGGAUACAUUGCAUGUUCAAUUAGAGAAACCUAGAUCCAAGCAUUAGGGUUUGCAUGUGCACAUAGGAAAGUUCUUAUGGCUCAAACCCAUCAGUGGUAUCAGAGCUUUGAUUUAUUUCUAUUGAAUUGUUACUUUGGUUGAUUGCUUAUGCUUAAAAAAUUUAAAUAAUCUAAUUAGUUGAUUUAUAUUAUUUGCUAUUUGAUCCUUAUGUUUUGAAAAGUUUAAAACUUGUCCUCAAGUUUUGAAAUUUAAGUUUUGUGAUUAAAAGGUUAAUUUGAAUAAUUUAAAUUUCAAACCCUAGAAUUUUACAAGUUUAAAAUUCAACCCUGUACUAUUAUAUUAUUACAAGCUUAAUAUAUAUAUAUAUAUAUAUAUAUAUAUAUAUAUAUAUAUGUAUAUGUAUCUAUAACUAAAAUGCUAGUCUUACCGUUAGUAGGCCUCAUUCACGAAGCCGAUCUAUAAGGGGGGUAUAAGGUUGUGGCCUAUCAAAUGGCCAUUUAAUGGGUGUCCACUCUCACCCACCGCUUCCUUGAUUGGUGGAGGGUCGUUAGCCGAACNNNNNNNNNNNNNNNNNNNNNNNNNNNNNNNNNNNNNNNNNNNNNNNNNNNNNNNNNNNNNNNNNNNNNNNNNNNNNNNNNNNNNNNNNNNNNNNNNNNNNNNNNNNNNNNNNNNNNNNNNNNNNNNNNNNNNNNNNNNNNNNNNNNNNNNNNNNNNNNNNNNNNNNNNNNNNNNNNNNNNNNNNNNNNNNNNNNNNNNNNNNNNNNNNNNNNNNNNNNNNNNNNNNNNNNNNNGUAGAUUUGCAUGGUUAUUCACACCCGCUUUGUGAUCCUCGGCAUCCCAGUCACAAACUAGAGGGGCAUAUCGAGAUUUAAACAUGCCAUUGAAAAGUUCAAUGAAUCUCAAAGAAAUCUAGGAAUUCUCAAUACAUUUAAAACUUAAGCUUAUGUUUUUCAUGGUGAAGAAUUAGUGAAUCAUCAUUCACUUACCUCGAAAUUAUUUGCAUGUUGGAUUACGGCAUCCCUUUUCUAAUGUGUAAAUAAUGUUGUUGGGUCCUAGCCCUAAUUUUUCAUUUUGGGUGUUAAUUAGGGACUUAAAUCUAAUCAAACUUUGUUCCUUUCUAUUUGUAGAUGUCUAACGCGAACAACGCUGCUACUAGCUCAUUGACGCUAAUGAGCCUUUGUCAAAAAGUGACUUUUGACGGAUCGAACUUUAGCGAAUGGAUAAGAUACAUUCGCAUGAUUGCACGCUACGAGGACAAAGAGUAUGUCCUCGAUGAGAAGCUCGAAAAGAUCAAUCAAGAAAUCGCUACUCCCGAAGAAAUGGUUGUCUUUGAGACCCAUGAGCGUGAUGCAACGAAAGUCCAUUGCAUCAUGCUAGCCACGAUGAACCCCGAAUUCCAAAAGUCCUAUGAGGAAAUGUAUCCAUACGAGAUGCAUCAAGAAUUAAUGGAGAGAUACCACCAAAGCGUGAGGCAAGAGCGCUAUGAAAUCAUAACAAAUAUGAUAACUGCUAAAAUGGAAAGUGGAGAGUCUCUAACCGUGCACUUGCAAAAGAUGCAAAGAUAUGUUGAUCGUCUUCGCAAGUUGAAUGUCAACUUUGGGGAAGAUUUGGCUAUCGACAUUGUUCUUCACUCCUUGCCCUCGCGCUACAACCAAUUUAGGAUGACCUACCACAUGAACAAGGAAGAGGUCACCCUAAGCAAACUCCAAGGGCUUUUAAGGACUGCUAAAAGCAACCUCAAGGACAAGUCUGUUGCAUUAACUCCCAAUCCACCUGCUGCUCCUAUUUUUGCUAUUAGGCAGGGAAGGGGCAAGAAGAGGAAGGCUUCUUCAAAGAGCCACCACAAGGGAAAGUCCCAAGAUGGUUCCUCUUCUAGUGGGACCAAGGUUGGUCCUGCUAAGCCCAACCCAAACUUAAAGGAGGCAGAGUGCCACUAUUGCCACAAAAUAGGGCAUUAGAAGAGAAGCUGCCCGGAAUAUCUACAAGCCAUCAAGGAUGGGAAGAUCAAGCCAUCUUUCGCAGGUAUUUACACAAUUAAAUAUAAUGAUUCAUCUCAUGCUAUUUCUUGGGUUCUUGAUACCGGAUGUGGUUAUCACAUUUGUUCUGAUUUGCAGGGACUAGGAAGAAAUAGGGAUGUGGAGCGUGGAAGAAUAAAUCUAAUCAUGGGGAACAGAAGAUCGUCCCCUGUGACCAAGAUUGGAGUGUAUUCUCUAGUUCUUAGAAAUGGAUUGAAUUUAGAUUUAAAUAAUUGUUGCUACUCGCCAGAUAUGGCAAGAAACAUCAUUUCUUUUCAUGGUUUAUUUAGACAAGGAUUUAGAUAUUCAUUUAAUAAUGAGAAUGGUUCGAUUUAUGCUUAUCUAAAUGGUGUUUUAUAUUUUGACGCAAUGCCUUGUAAUGGAAUUUAUGAAACGGUUAUGGUUGUAGAUAACCUAGGAAAUGAUGUGUUGUGUAUGGAUUCUUCUAAUAAUAUAGAUAAGCAUGCUUGUGGCAUUGUCGUCUUGGACAUGUCAACAAGAAGCACAUAGCCCAACUCCAAAAGGAUGGAGUGUUGGAGUCAUUCGACCUUAGGGAAGAUGACACGUGCGAAUCUUGUUUACAUGGAAAGAUGACCAAGUCACCCUUCACUGGCACUUGUGAGAGGGGUGAGGGUUUAUUGGAUCUCAUACACACCGACGUGUGUGGGCCCUUUAGAUCCACCACAAAGGAUGGGAACCGCUUCUACGUGACUUUCACCGAUGAUUAUAGUAGAUAUGGGUAUAUUUACUUAAUCAAGCACAAGUCAGAAACGUUUGAAAAGUUCAAAGAGUUCAAACAUGAAGUGGAGAAUCAAUUGGGUAGGAAAAUCAAGAUGCCUCGANGGUUUAUUGGAUCUCAUACACACCGACGUGUGUGGGCCCUUUAGAUCCACCACAAAGGAUGGGAACCGCUUCUACGUGACUUUCACCGAUGAUUAUAGUAGAUAUGGGUAUAUUUACUUAAUCAAGCACAAGUCAGAAACGUUUGAAAAGUUCAAAGAGUUCAAACAUGAAGUGGAGAAUCAAUUGGGUAGGAAAAUCAAGAUGCCUCGAUCCGAUCGAGGAGGAGAGUACCUAAGUCUUCAAUUCCAUGACUAUCUCAAGGAAUGCAGAAUAGUUUCGCAAUUGACGCCACCUAGGACACCACAGUUGAAUGGUGUGGCAGAAAGGCGUAAUUGAACCCUAUUAGACAUGGUUCGUUCUAUAAUGAGUCGUGCUUCACUACGUAUCUCAUUCUGGGGGUAUGCCUUAGAGACUGCCGCCCAUAUCCUUAAUCGAGUCCCUAUAAAGAAGGUUACCAAAACACCUCAAGAAAUAUGGACAGGGAAAGCUCCCUCGUUGGCACAUAUCAAGGUUUGGGGCUGUGAAGUUUUCGUAAGACGAUAAACUCACGACAAACUCGAACCUCNCGUAGUGAGCGAUGUAUUUUCAUCGGCUACCCACAGAAAUCCUUUGGAUAUCUCUUCUAUAGACCGAGUGACAAUGUUGUCUUCGUUGCGAGGAGAGGAGAUUUCCUAGAACGAGAACUCAUAAGCCUAGGGGACAAUGGGAGGCAAAUCUAUCUUGAAGAGAUUCAAGAGUCGAGCGAUGAAGGAACCUCUAACGCUGGCGCUCAACCCGAGGAGGAAACUCCGGUUGAACAAAUUGACGAGUCCUUACCUCUUAGACGUUCCGAAAGAGUUAGAGUUCAACCCCAAUUUUAUGGCUUUCAUAUUACUACCAAAGGGAACACGUAUAUUAGUGAUGGUACACCAAUAAAUCUAGAUGAACCUAAUAGCUAUAAGGAAGCCAUGGCAGGCCCAGAGUCUGCGAAAUGGAAAGAGGCGAUGGACAGCGAGAUUCAAUCCAUGUAUGACAACCAAGUUUGGAAUUUGGUUGACAAUGUGCCCGGACGUAAGAUAGCUGGGUGCAAAUGGAUCUUCAAGAAGAAGACCGACAUGGAUGGGAAUGUGCGCACAUAUAAGGCAUGAUUGGUUGUGAAGGGAUUUACUCAAACUCCUGGAGUUGACUAUGAUGAGACCUUCUCGCCAGUUGCUAAAAUAAAGUCUAUUAGGGUGAUGCUAGCCAUUGCUGCAUUCCAUGAUUAUGAGAUAUGGCAGAUGGAUGUCAAGACCGCUUUCCUUAAUGGGAAGUUGGCUGAGGAUGUUUACAUGGCUCAGCCAGAGCGUUUUGUCGAUACGAAGCAUCCCAAUAGAGUGUGCAAGCUUGAGAAGUCCAUUUAUGGACUUAUGCAAGCGUCUCGCAGAUGGAAUCUUUGCUUCGAUGAGAAAGUCAAAGAGUUUGGAUUUGUACAAAGUGAAGAUGUAUCAUAUGUAUACGUCAAGGCCAGUGGGAGCAUAGUUAGCUUCCUCCUUUUGUAUGUCGAUGCCAUACUGCUUAUAGGAAACGACAUCCCAACUCUGUAGGAGGUUAAGUCCUGGCUCGGGAAGUGCUUCGCUAUGAAGGACCUCAGAGAGGCUUCCUAUAUUUUAGGAAUAAGGAUAGUGAGAGAACGAAGUAAGAGACUAAUAGGACUUAGUCAAAAUACUUACUUGGAUAAGGUACUAAAACGUUUUAGUACGGAAAACUCAAAGAAGGGAGAACUACCGAUACAGAGUAAUGCCAAAUUGAGUAAGACUCAAAGUCCGAGUACAGAAGCCGAGAUAGCUGAGAUGAGCCGAGUACCUUACGCUUCCGCAGUUGGCUCAAUCAUGUAUGCUAUGACUUGUACUCGCCCUGAUGUGGCCUUUGCUUUGAGCAUGGUCAGUUGAUAUCAAGGGAACCCUGGCAGAGCUCAUUGGGUUGCAGUCAAGAAUAUCCUUAAGUACCUUCGGAGGACCAAGGAAUGGUUUUUAGUCCUCGGAGGGAGUGAUGACUUAAAGGUGCGAGGGUAUAGUGAUGCCAACUUCCAGACCGACAGGGACUACUACCGUUCGCAGUCGGGCUGGGUCUUUACCCUUAAUGGAGGAGCAGUGACUUGGAAAAGUUCCAAGCAAGAAACCGUAGCUGAUUCAACGUGCGAAUCAGAGUACAUUGCAGUGAGUGAAGCUUCAAAGGAGGCGAUGUGGUUGAAAAACUUCAUUGGUGACCUUGGAGUUGUGCCUUCCAUAAAGGAGCCUAUGGAAUUUUUCUUUGAUAAUGAAGGAGCGGUUGCCUUGACCAAAGAACCGAGAGAUCAUGGUAGAUCUCGGCAUAUCGACAGAAAAUAUCACUUUAUUAGAUAUCGAGUAGAAGAAGGACACCUUGUAGUAAAGAGGGUAUCAUCAGAGGAUAACCUAGCAGAUCCGCUUACAAAGGGAUUGAGUUGGGUUAAGCACUUACAGUACGCUAGGAGCAUUAGGCUGAAAGACGAUAUUAGUUUAGAUUAUAUAGUUUAGAAACAUGUAAUGGAUAAAUGUAAUUGACAUUUGAUUAUUAACUAAAGGAGUAUUAUUUAUAAGUAAAUCUACUGUCUUAUGUUAAUUGUUUAAACUAUUGUUUCACUUUGCAUGUUUUGACUUCCUGAAUAAUUGAGUUAUUAAGAAUAAUCGAAUUAUUCGAAUGGUCCACGAUCGUUUAUAUGUUGGAAGUAGGCAUCAAUGAAGAUUGUCAUGAAUUGGUGUGUAGAUUGUCUAAAAGGUAUUAGACAUAGCAAAGGUUUGCUGCAACGUUCAUGAGUGCUUAUGAACAUGUUUUGAGCAUUGGAAUAAACCCGCGCUUGCUGGAAUCACUUUAUGGAAUGUACCACAAGUGAUCGCAAGACGAUAAUAUCAUAUGGUCUUAAAACCAAGAUAUAUGGUUUAUUGUUUAUUAAUUGGUUGUGCAUUGACAAUGCGAAACCGCAUCAGUAAAUUGAUGUCAUAAAACGCAUUGUUGUGUAUAGUUGAUUAGUAAAUAGUAAAUGCAUAUAAGUCGAAGUUUAUCUGUUACUUUUAUUCUAAGAGGGUAAAAGCGAUAUCAGGGCCCCUCGAUGAUUUGAUUUGACUUAUGUGUCGGGCCCGGUCAGGACUGAAUUGAUGUGUUCAAUUAAGUUCUAUGUCAAAUGAAUCUGAGAUCGAGAAACCAACUGUUGGACAAUAAGUUCCAUGAGAUUGUCCACACAAUAUCUAAACAGAGGACUGUACGAUCCCUUAUCUAAAGGACAGGAUACUGAUAAGAUCAGAGUUUGACAGCGUCUUUGAGAGCUACGAUUGCUAAUCGGAUUGUGUUUUCAUAUAUAGUUACUAGACUUAUCCAAGUGGGAGACUGUUGGAUUAGUGUCUAAGGCUGUAACUAUAUUUGGUAAGUACUUGACCCGGUUGUGCAUGGUCCUUUUGGGUUGCCUUCACCAUAGCAACUUGAUAGGGUGAUUUGUAAAGAGAGAAGAGAUAUUAUUAUUAAUAUAUUAUGAGAGUAAUAUAUUAAAGGAAUAAUAAUAUUAUUUGAUUUAUAUAAGCCAUAAAUGAAUUGAGAAUUAAUUUGGUGACUUAAAGAGGUUAAUUGAAUAAAGGGGCAUAAACUGUCAAAUGUAUGAUAGUUGUGUUUUGGGCUAUGUAUCCUUAUGGAUAUUAGGGUGGAUGGAUUUUAGGGUUUGGAUAUCUUAAAAUAGUCCAAGCCUCAUAUCUAGAAGGAUCUUUGGAUUGCUUAGGCCUAAGUUAUUCAAUUAGGGUUAAAAGUGUAACCCUAGUAGCUCAUAGUAUAAAUAGACCCCAUGGGUGAGGCAAAUUGGCCACUCUUGCAAGGAAGAAACCCUAGAUCCGAUUUCCUCACCUCCUCUCUCUCUCAAGAUCAUCCUCUUUCUAGUUGGUGUUUGUAAGCCAUUAGAGGAGUGACAAUUGUGACUCUAAGCUCCAAGAACAAGAAGUUUCAAGCAAGCAACUUAAGGUAUUCUUCUAGAUCUGGUUUCAUAUGAUAUGAUUCAAUUGUAUACACUAGAUCUAGAAUUGUAAGCCUUGGAUACAUUGCAUGUUCAAUUAGAGAAACCUAGAUCCAAGCAUUAGGGUUUGCAUGUGCACAUAGGAAAGUUCUUAUGGCUCAAAACCAUCAUAGAGGACGAGCUGGAAAUAGAGGAGGAGAUGUGAGAGUUAUAAUAAAUGAGGAUGAUGAUUUUGUGGAUUGUUAUAUAGGUGAGUUGUCUACAAUUUAAAAUAAAACAUGUUUUUUAUGACUUUUUUAAAUCUUUAGUUUUCUAUGUAGAAAAUGAAAAUGAAAUGGUUAUUUAUGAUGAUGAAGGAGCUCCUAAAAGACACAAACUAGUUUCCCUGAGACGCAAUAUGUUGCAGAUGGUGAUCUUCAAGAGGUUCCAAUGAAAGAUGAGGAAGAUUCUGAAGAUUUUUUAAACAUUAUACCAAAGGAGUGUCGGAACUAUGAAAACACGAAAGACUGAGUAGGUGGAAUUAAUAACCUUUUUUGUAUAGUGGGCAAUGUUUAAAAAACUUUUUGCAUUUAAAAACUCUAUGCAGUAUUUAUGAAAUUUAUUCACUUAAUAGUCGCCCUUUUGAAAACUCAAUGCAGUAUUU
RNAcentral lists this long non-coding RNA (7654 nucleotides) under Lactuca sativa (garden lettuce). Its description in RNAcentral is "long non-coding RNA (LSAT_LNC000754)". Lineage: Eukaryota; Viridiplantae; Streptophyta; Magnoliopsida; Asterales; Asteraceae. The record is from RNAcentral.